Molecule: non-coding RNA, 125 nt
Organism: Triticum aestivum (bread wheat)
Lineage: Eukaryota; Viridiplantae; Streptophyta; Magnoliopsida; Poales; Poaceae
Source: Rfam
AUGUUACUCCCUCCGUCUGGAAAUACUUGUCGUAGAAAUGCUUAAAAAUGGAUGUAUCUAAGAACUAAAAUACGUCUAGAUACAUCCUUUUUCCGACAAGUAUUUCCGGACGGAGAGAGUACAUA